UUGAAAGGGAAACGAUUGAAGUCAGUCGUACCGACGAGAAAUCAACUUAUCGUGUGCGAACCUGUGGACGUGCGUGAGUUUCGGCCUCGCUGUUUGCAUGUUUGUGCGCUUUGGGUGUACUUUUUCGUAUGGUAGGCCAACGUCAGUUUCGAUUAUCAUAAAAUGACCGGCGGAAUGUAGCUUCGACUUCGGUUGAAGUGUUAUAGCCUCUGGUAGAUGUGGUGAUUGGGACUGAGGAUUGCAACGAAUACCCUUUGGGCUAUCCGUCUGACCUCUGAAAGUUGCUCAGGUGCCGAAAGCGUGCUUACGGUCAUCUAAGAUAACGUUCAACAGGCUAGAACGUGAUUACAUUCGUUAAGGAUGUUGACGUA
RNAcentral lists this ribosomal RNA (371 nucleotides) under uncultured Glomeromycotina. RNAcentral's name for it is "eukaryotic LSU rRNA". Lineage: Eukaryota; Fungi; Glomeromycota. The record is from RNAcentral.